GAUGAACGCUGGCGGCGUGCCUAAUACAUGCAAGUCGAGCGAACAGACGAGGAGCUUGCUCCUCUGACGUUAGCGGCGGACGGGUGAGUAACACGUGGAUAACCUACCUAUAAGACUGGGAUAACUUCGGGAAACCGGAGCUAAUACCGGAUAAUAUAUUGAACCGCAUGGUUCAAUAGUGAAAGACGGUUUUGCUGUCACUUAUAGAUGGAUCCGCGCCGCAUUAGCUAGUUGGUAAGGUAACGGCUUACCAAGGCAACGAUGCGUAGCCGACCUGAGAGGGUGAUCGGCCACACUGGAACUGAGACACGGUCCAGACUCCUACGGGAGGCAGCAGUAGGGAAUCUUCUGCAAUGGGCGAAAGCCUGACGGAGCAACGCCGCGUGAAUGAUGAAGGUCUUCGGAUCGUAAAACUCUGUUAUUAGGGAAGAACAAAUGUGUAAGUAACUAUGCACGUCUUGACGGUACCUAAUCAGAAAGCCACGGCUAACUACGUG
Molecule: ribosomal RNA, 497 nt
Filed under: uncultured bacterium
Lineage: Bacteria
Description: partial 16S ribosomal RNA
Rfam family: Bacterial small subunit ribosomal RNA
Source: RNAcentral